This 468-nucleotide ribosomal RNA is filed under the name uncultured bacterium. RNAcentral's name for it is "partial 16S ribosomal RNA". It matches the Rfam family "Bacterial small subunit ribosomal RNA", at positions 28 to 507 of the family's 1533-position model. The record is from RNAcentral.
GACGAACGCUGGCGGCGUGCUUAACACAUGCAAGUCGAACGGAAAGGCCCUGCUUUUGUGGGGUGCUCGAGUGGCGAACGGGUGAGUAACACGUGAGUAACCUGCCCUUGACUUUGGUAUAACUUCAGGAAACUGGGGCUAAUACCGGAUAGGAGCUCCUGCUGCAUGGUGGGGGUUGGAAAGUUUCGGCGGUUGGGGAUGGACUCGCGGCUUAUCAGCUUGUUGGUGGGGUAGUGGCUUACCAAGGCUUUGACGGGUAGCCGGCCUGAGAGGGUGACCGGCCACAUUGGGACUGAGACACGGCCCAGACUCCUACGGGAGGCAGCAGUGGGGAAUAUUGCACAAUGGGCGGAAGCCUGAUGCAGCAACGCCGCGUGCGGGAUGACGGCCUUCGGGUUGUAAACCGCUUUCGCCUGUGACGAAGCGAAAGUGACGGUAAUGGGUAAGGAAGCGCCGGCUAACUACGUG